This is a non-coding RNA of Monodelphis domestica (gray short-tailed opossum), 319 nucleotides long. Lineage: Eukaryota; Metazoa; Chordata; Mammalia; Didelphimorphia; Didelphidae. The record is from RefSeq and is a predicted model, not a curated record.
GAAGCUUAGAGAACUCCAACUGGCCACUCACUCACUUCCAGUUGGGAGCCUAUGGAAAGAGAUCCUUAAUUUUUGUAUUAUCCAUAUCACCACUAUUCCACCUAUUAAAAGAGAUGACUGACAACGGAUUCCAGUAUAUAACUCAAAGUCCAGAAUAUGACUGGUCACUGAUAUGGGGAUUAUCUCAGAAUCAUCCUUCUAUUUGCAAUCAGACAAUCGACACAUUUAAGUAAAGCAACCAAUUAAUGGCUGUGUUUGGGGUUCCACCUUCCCUAAAGGAAGCUCUGAAGAGAAAUUAGAGAGGACAGCUAUUAGAGGA